UACGUAGGGUCCAAGCGUUAUCCGGAAUCACUGGGCGUAAAGCGUGCGUAGGUGGAUGUUUAAGUGUGAUGUUAAAUCGUGUGGCUCAACCAUAUCGAUGCAUCGCAUACUGGACGUCUAGAGGACAGCAGAGGCAAGUGGAAUUUGUGGUGUAGCAGUGAAAUGCGUAGAUAUUACAAGGAACACCAAUGGCGAAGGCAGCUUGCUGGGCUACUCCUGACACUGAGGUACGAAAGCGUGGGGAGCGAACAGG
RNAcentral lists this ribosomal RNA (253 nucleotides) under uncultured bacterium. RNAcentral describes it as "partial 16S ribosomal RNA". It matches the Rfam family "Bacterial small subunit ribosomal RNA", at positions 524 to 776 of the family's 1533-position model. The record is from RNAcentral.